This is a non-coding RNA of Pelobates cultripes (western spadefoot toad), 214 nucleotides long. NCBI's taxonomy places the organism in Eukaryota, Metazoa, Chordata, Amphibia, Anura, Pelobatidae. The record is from the annotation of a GenBank genome assembly.
CUGCAACUCUGCUUUAUCCUGCCAACCUGGUUUACUACCAACCCUGCUCCAUACCAACCCUGCUUCAUACCAACCUAGAUUGCCUGCAACUCUGCUUUAUCCUGCCAACCUGGUUUACUACCAACCCUGCUCCAUACCAACCCUGCUUCAUACCAACCUAGAUUGCCUGCAACUCUGCUUUAUCCUGCCAACCUGGUUUACUACCAACCCUGCU